GGAGGACGUAUCGCUCGCUGUUGCGCCGCGCAAACUCGCCGGAGCUCGAAAAAUAUAGCGCAACCUGCGCAACGAACUCGUUUUGAUACUAGAUAAUGAAAGCAUAUUUAAUUCAGAUUAUCAGACUCAAUCGGAUACCAGUACAAAUAAUAUGGAAAAUGAAGAUACAAUACAUGGAAGACGAAUUAUAGAUUUUAGUUUUUUUAUAAAUCAAUUACUUAUACCUAAUUGAUAAACAUGGUGAAAAGUUUGGUUGUCGAUUAAAUAAUUUAAAAAUUGUAAACGA
Long non-coding RNA from Helicoverpa armigera (cotton bollworm), 286 nucleotides. RefSeq lists it as uncharacterized. The transcript has 3 exons. The record is from RefSeq and is a predicted model, not a curated record. Lineage: Eukaryota; Metazoa; Arthropoda; Insecta; Lepidoptera; Noctuidae.